GUUACCAUAGCUUAGUGGUAAAGCUAAGCACUGUUAAUGCUUGUACAGAAGUUCGAUUCUUCUUGGUAACG
Molecule: transfer RNA, 71 nt
Filed under: Pneumocystis jirovecii
Lineage: Eukaryota; Fungi; Ascomycota; Pneumocystomycetes; Pneumocystales; Pneumocystaceae
Rfam family: tRNA
About the family: Transfer RNA (tRNA) molecules are approximately 80 nucleotides in length. Their secondary structure includes four short double-helical elements and three loops (D, anti-codon, and T loops).
Source: Rfam by way of RNAcentral